This 64-nucleotide transfer RNA is filed under the name Marinilabilia salmonicolor. The record is from Rfam by way of RNAcentral. Lineage: Bacteria; Pseudomonadati; Bacteroidota; Bacteroidia; Marinilabiliales; Marinilabiliaceae.
GAUAGUUCAGCUGGUUAGAGCGUCCCGAUCAAAAUCGGGAAGGUCGGCGGUUCAAGCCCGCCUC